AUGGUGGAAGGAGGGUUCAGGCUUCUCCCCAAAGGCCCAAAGUUAAGUUCCAGCAGGCCCAGUAUUAAGCUCAUCUGUGAGGAGGACUCCAGCCACAGAGGAGCAUAUGGUACCAGUACAGAUGCUUUGCUGAGGACUCUGAACUGGAUGAUCUCAAGGCCUCCCAGUCAGAGGCUGGAUCCUAACUGGGGAGAGCAAGGAGUGCAAAGAAGAGAAGGGCUCCUUCUGUCUGUAUGGACAGCAAUAUAGAGCUGUGGGAAAGGAUGGACUGCAGGAGGAAGGGACAGAUUUAAACUGUUGCCUGGCCCCAACAGUUUCCCUGCCUAAAAAUCCUGCCUGAAGCUGAUCUCUAUAAAAGAAACAAGUAAGUCUGCUGGCUUUCUCCUCGCCUGCCAGUUAUUCUGCCCAAGCCCAGCUCUCCUCUGUGGGCUCCUCUUUCAGCCAGUGUUUCUUUACUUCAGAUUCUUUGGUCUCUCGAUCUCUACGACGCUGAAAGUAAAUCGGGGCGGGGAGGCGGGUAGAAUUGGAGAAGAAACCCUCAUCCACUCAUCCUCUUUCUUACCAACAACUCUCUCUCCACACACACAGAAGCACACGCACUAAGGCGACCUCCAGAUGUUCCCGACCGUGCGGCCAUCUGCUGAAAUUGCUCGGGUGCUCAGGGGGAGGGGGCGGGGAGCAGGGAUGCAGGAAGCUGGGAGUGAGGCCUGGUGGAGUGGGCGGGAGCUGCGCACUUUUGAGACGCUCCCUAGGGUGGGACC
This 761-nucleotide long non-coding RNA is filed under the name Fukomys damarensis (Damara mole-rat). RNAcentral's name for it is "lncRNA (ENSFDAG00000024724.1)". Lineage: Eukaryota; Metazoa; Chordata; Mammalia; Rodentia; Bathyergidae. The record is from RNAcentral.